Long non-coding RNA from Hippocampus comes (tiger tail seahorse), 723 nucleotides. RefSeq lists it as uncharacterized. The record is from RefSeq and is a predicted model, not a curated record. The transcript has 5 exons. Lineage: Eukaryota; Metazoa; Chordata; Actinopteri; Syngnathiformes; Syngnathidae.
GCUUUUUGGAUCCACCACCACCACGCAAUUGUGACAACAGAUCUCAAGAACUACAACACUAACGUGGGAUGGACAGUGAGCGAGUGAGGCUAACCCUACAACUGCUUGGAGAUGCGUCGGGUGAGUCAGAUGACUGCAAUAAUGAUGUGACAAGAACACACAAGGCGCGUUUCAAGUGUUGAUUUUGCUGAUUAUCUGGAUGGCUGACGGAUAUUUAAAAAGACGCUUGAGGACAAAGGGCGGGCGCAUCUUUCAAGGAUCGUCUUCAAAAUUGGAAAGCGGAAAGUGAGGGUUUAAACACGAUAUAAAUAAGUGCUGCUUUCAGAAAAAAGUGACAAAUUAGACGUCAUUUUCAUUGAACACGACAAACCGAAAACUUCAAGUCAACAAGGCGGCUCGUGUUGAACAACACAAUGAAGUCGGCGCUCUUCGCUGUGAGCCUUUUGCUGCUCCUCGCAGUCGGCACCAGCGAUAUUUUCAGUGGUCGCCCCCCAAUCGUUCGUCAGUUAAGGCUGGCCGAUCCUGGUGAAGAUGAUUCCGGUCUGACUGUUCAGCCUGGUCUGAUUGAUCCUCAUGGCAGCAGAAUCAUUCGCCGCGUUCGUAAUUGAGAGUAUCGCAGAGCAGUCAUACUCCAGAAAUAUAAAUGCUCAGUCAGAUCACAAUCAAAAUAGUUUUUUUUUUGAUUCAGUCGUGUCUUGCACAUUAGUCUGAUCGUAUAUUUAA